GGUGAGUAACGCGUUGGUGACCUACCUCGAAGUCUGGGAUAACCCUGCGAAAGUGGGGCUAAUACCGGAUGUGGUCAUCGGAUUUAGAAACCGAUGUCUAAAGGAUUUAUUCGCUUCGGGAGGGGCCUGCGUCCCAUCAGCUAGUUGGUAGGGUAAUGGCCUACCAAGGCGACGACGGGUAGGGGACCUCAGAGGGUGGCCCCCCACAAUGGAACUGAAACACGGUCCAUACACCUACGGGUGGCAGCAGUAGGGAAUAUUGCACAAUGGGCGAAAGCCUGAUGCAGCAACGCCACGUGUGCGAAGAAGGCCUUCGGGUCGUAAAGCACUUUUCUGGGAGAUGAGAAAGGACAGUAUCCCAGGAAUAAGUCUCGGCUAACUACGUGCCAGCAGCCGCGGUAAAACGUAGGAGGCGAGCGUUAUCCGGAUUCACUGGGCGUAAAGCGCGUGCAGGCGGUUUGGUAAGUUAGGCGUGAAAGCUCCCGGCUCAACUGGGAGAGGUCGUCUAAAACUACCAGACUCGAGAGCGGUAGAGGAAAAUGGAAUUCCCGGUGUAGUGGUGAAAUGCGUAGAUAUCAGGAGGAACACCAGUGGCGAAGGCGAUUUUCUGGACCGUUUCUGACGCUCAGACGCGAAAGCUAGGGUAGCAAACGGGAUUAGAGACCCCGGUAGUCCUAGCUGUAAACGAUGUGAACUUGGCGUUGGUGGCUUAAACACCAUCAGUGCCGUAGCUAACGCGAUAAGUUCACCGCCUGGGGACUACGGCCGCAAGGCU
Molecule: ribosomal RNA, 775 nt
Filed under: uncultured bacterium
Lineage: Bacteria
Description: bacterial SSU rRNA
Rfam family: Bacterial small subunit ribosomal RNA
Source: RNAcentral